GUGGAUGCGGGGGCGGUGGCGCGCGACUGGGCCGCGGGAGCUGCGGGUGGGAGGAGGAAGGGGAGCACCUCCGAGGGGGCCGCCAGAGAGUACGGGGCGGGGAGGGCGGCGAAGAAGAAGGCGCCGCCGCGGCCGGAGGCCCGGACCGAGUUCCGCGGCGUGUCCCGGACACUUGCCGGCAACUACGGGGCGCGGAUCGAGCAUUCCAAGGGGCAGAAGCGGUGGCUCGGCACCUUCGACACCGCCGAGGAGGCCGCCAGGGCGUACGACGAGGCGGCCGUCAGGCUGCACGGCGCGCGGGCCGUGACGAACUACGAGCAAGACGGCGUCCCCGAGUCGGCCGGCCGGGCGGCGGCAAAGAAGAAGAAGAAGCCGGCGGCGCCCAGGCCUGACGCCCGGACCGAGUUCGUCGGCGUGUCCCGGCAGCCGAACGGCAAGUACGUCGCGGGCCUAUGGGACUCGGGGAGGCAUAAGGUGGUGACGGUCGGGAGGUUCGACACGGCCGAGGAGGCCGCCGGAGCGUACGAUGCCGCGGCCGUCGGGAUGUACGGCGCCGCGGCCAGGACCAACUUCGAGCAAAAACCCACGGCGGCCGCGGCCAAGACCAACUUCGAGCAACAACCCACGGCGGCCGCUACUGAUGACGGGGACGAGUCGUCCGUGGACCUCCUCAGCGACUUCCCGGAGCCGCCCCCCUGCGACGUCCGCUCGGACAGCAUCAUCCCAUUCCCAGGCCCGGCGCUCGACGAUCUCCGGACUGACGCUGACCUGACGCCGGCUGAGCGGCAGCAGGUGGACGAGUUCCUCAUCGACAUGGACUUCGCCGAUGUGGUGGAUUAG
Molecule: ribosomal RNA, 840 nt
Filed under: Triticum aestivum (bread wheat)
Lineage: Eukaryota; Viridiplantae; Streptophyta; Magnoliopsida; Poales; Poaceae
Description: partial small subunit ribosomal RNA
Source: RNAcentral